ACUCUCUCUCGACUCGGUCUCUCCUCUCCCUCUCCAUCUCCAUCUCCAUCUCCAUCUCGAUCUCGAUCUGCUCAACUGAGCUCUUUAUUCUCUUCUCAAUCUCUGAACUCUAUCAUCGUGUAGAACUCUAUCAUCAGUUCAUCAGAGUUUGAAGAAGAACUGGUCAGAGUUGGUUUAAGAAGAACUAAGUAGGUGCUUGUGAUACUGCACUGCAAAACAAGGAAAGGAGAAAAAGGGGAAGCAGCACACAAUUGAUUAUAGUGCCUAAACCCAGUUUUAUACUGGCGGAUUCUUAUGAUCUUGAUAGCCAUUAUAUUUGGUUCCGUCGACAGCAAUUGAUGGUACCUUGGUAUUGGUAUCUCUUAUUGGGUUUUAUCGAUGUUCAAGCCAAUUUUUUAGUGAUCAAGGCAUAUCAAUAUUCGUCGAUUAUGAGUGUCACGUUAUUGGAUUGCUGGACAACACCAUGGGUUAUGAUCUUAACAUGGAUAUUCAUAUGGACUAGAUAUAGUCUAUGUCAGUUCUUUGGUGCAGCUAUAUGUGAGUUGUCCAGGUACUAAUUGAAAUCAUUUCCAAGUGGGUCGGCUCCUCUUCUUGGUGACGCGCUUGUCAUUGCUGGAACACUUGGUUAUGCACUAAGUAAUGUUGGAGGAUCUGUGCUAUUCAAAAUCUCAAUUCUGAAUCUGAUUUUUGGGUACUCAUCAUUCGGGUCUUCGUUUAUCAGCAGAGCAUCCCCUGGUUAUACUAUCUCUCAUUUGUUGUUCUUCCUCCCUGUUCAGAUGGGCCUCGCAGUUGCUUUCAAAGUUUGAAGAUGAGAUAAACAACACAGUUGAAGCAUACUGGAUUUGUAAGUUUAUGUAGGAGCAGCUGCAAGAUUUGUGAGUUUAUGUAGUAUCUCCUUAUAGUGAUUUAAGUAAGAAUAACUUAGGAAUUUUGUAACUUUCUAUGAGCUGAACUUAGCAACUAAGUUUCUAUGUGUGCACUAGUUUGCUGUGAUACUUAGUAUAUACA
Long non-coding RNA from Papaver somniferum (opium poppy), 1008 nucleotides. RefSeq lists it as uncharacterized. Lineage: Eukaryota; Viridiplantae; Streptophyta; Magnoliopsida; Ranunculales; Papaveraceae. The record is from RefSeq and is a predicted model, not a curated record. The transcript is spliced from 9 exons.